GACGAACGCUGGCGGCGUGCCUAAUACAUGCAAGUCGAGCGGACGGAUGGGAGCUUGCUCCCAGACCGUCAGCGGCGGACGGGUGAGUAACACGUGGGCAACCUGCCUGUAAGCCUGGGAUAACUCCGGGAAACCGGGGCUAAUACCGGAUAACUCUUUCCCUCACAUGAGGGAAAGCUGAAAGAUGGCAUCUCGCUAUCACUUACAGAUGGGCCCGCGGCGCAUUAGCUAGUUGGUGAGGUAACGACUCACCAAGGCGACGAUGCGUAGCCGACCUGAGAGGGUGAUCGGCCACACUGGGACUGAGACACGGCCCAGACUCCUACGGGAGGCAGCAGUAGGGAAUCUUCCGCAAUGGACGAAAGUCUGACGGAGCAACGCCGCGUGAGUGAUGAAGGUUUUCGGAUCGUAAAACUCUGUUGUCAGGGAAGAACAAGUACCGGAGUAACUGCCGGUACCUUGACGGUACCUGACCAGAAAGCCACGGCUAACUACGUG
This 498-nucleotide ribosomal RNA is filed under the name uncultured bacterium. RNAcentral describes it as "partial 16S ribosomal RNA". It matches the Rfam family "Bacterial small subunit ribosomal RNA", at positions 28 to 507 of the family's 1533-position model. The record is from RNAcentral.